GCUAACGUAGCUUAAUUAAAGCACAAUACUGAAGAUAUUAAGAUGGGCCCUAGAAAGCUCCGUAAGCA
RNAcentral lists this transfer RNA (68 nucleotides) under Chaunax pictus (pink frogmouth). RNAcentral's name for it is "tRNA-Phe". The record is from RNAcentral. RNAcentral also lists the same sequence under 1 other name. Lineage: Eukaryota; Metazoa; Chordata; Actinopteri; Lophiiformes; Chaunacidae.